CACGGCCCAGACUCCUACGGGAGGCAGCAGUGGGGAAUAUUGCACAAUGGGCGAAAGCCUGAUGCAGCGACGCCGCGUGAGGGAUGACGGCCUUCGGGUUGUAAACCUCUUUCAGCAGGGAAGAAGCGAAAGUGACGGUACCUGCAGAAGAAGCGCCGGCUAACUACGUGCCAGCAGCCGCGGUAAUACGUAGGGCGGGAGCGUUGUCCGGAAUUAUUGGGCGUAAAGAGCUCGUAGGCGGCUUGUCACGUCGGUUGUGAAAGCCCGGGGCUUAACCCCGGGUCUGCAGUCGAUACG
RNAcentral lists this non-coding RNA (297 nucleotides) under Streptomyces afghaniensis 772. RNAcentral's name for it is "Bacterial small subunit ribosomal RNA". It matches the Rfam family "Bacterial small subunit ribosomal RNA", at positions 325 to 634 of the family's 1533-position model. The record is from Rfam by way of RNAcentral. Lineage: Bacteria; Bacillati; Actinomycetota; Actinomycetes; Kitasatosporales; Streptomycetaceae.